CUCAGGAUGAACGCUAGCGGCAGGCCGUAACACAUGCAAGUCGAACGGUAACAUGAGUAGCAAUACUUGAUGACGAGUGGCGCACGGGUGCGUAACGCGUAUGCAACUUACCUCUAACUGGAGAAUAGCCUUCCGAAAGGAAGAAUAAUACUCCAUAAUAUUACGAUGUGGCAUCACAUUGUUCUUAAAGCUUCGGCGGUUAGAGAUGGGCAUGCGUCUGAUUAGCUUGUUGGUGAGGUAACGGCUCACCAAGGCAACGAUCAGUAGGGGGCCUGAGAGGGUUAUCCCCCACACUGGUACUGAGACACGGACCAGACUCCUACGGGAAGCAGCAGUGAGGAAUAUUGGUCAAUGGACGAAAGUCUGAACCAGCCAUGCCGCGUGCAGGAUGAAUGCCCUAUGGGUUGUAAACUGCUUUUAUAUAGGAAUAAACCCCUUUACGUGUAAAGGGCUGAAGGUACUAUAAGAAUAAGGACCGGCUAACUCCGUG
Molecule: ribosomal RNA, 490 nt
Filed under: uncultured bacterium
Lineage: Bacteria
Description: bacterial SSU rRNA
Rfam family: Bacterial small subunit ribosomal RNA
Source: RNAcentral